Molecule: ribosomal RNA, 468 nt
Filed under: uncultured bacterium
Lineage: Bacteria
Description: partial 16S ribosomal RNA
Rfam family: Bacterial small subunit ribosomal RNA
Source: RNAcentral
GACGAACGCUGGCGGCGUGCUUAACACAUGCAAGUCGAACGGAAAGGCCCUGCUUUUGUGGGGUACUCGAGUGGCGAACGGGUGAGUAACACGUGAGUAACCUGCCCUUGACUUUGGGAUAACUUCAGGAAACUGGGGCUAAUACCGGAUAGGAGCUCCUGCUGCAUGGUGGGGGUUGGAAAGUUUCGGCGGUUGGGGAUGGACUCGCGGCUUAUCAGCUUGUUGGUGGGGUAGUGGCUUACCAAGGCUUUGACGGGUAGCCGGCCUGAGAGGGUGACCGGGCACAUUGGGACUGAGAUACGGCCGAGACUCCUACGGGAGGCAGUAGUGGGGAAUAUUGCACAAUGGGCGGAGGCCUGAUGCAGCAACGCCGCGUGCGGGAAGACGGCCUUCGGGUUGUAAACCGCUUUCGCCUGUGACGAAGCGUGAGUGACGGUAAUGGGUAAAGAAGCACCGGCUAACUACGUG